AUGCGAUAAGUAAUAUGAAUUGCAGAAUCUCGUGAAUCGUUGAAUCUUUGAACGUACAUUGCGCCCUAUGGUAUUCCGUAGGGCAUGCCUGUCUGAGCGUCAGCUCCCCCACCUCAAGUCUCUUAAUUGAAGCUUGGAUCACUUUAAAGAAGUGGCUGAAAUACCGUGACAAUAGGCUACUCUUUAGAAAUUUAUAGGCAGUAUGGCACCUGAACCAGGCGUAAUAAGGAUAUAAAAGUGUCUCUCUUUAGGAAGGUUGUACUUGCCUUAACCCACCCAUUUUCUUCUGAGUCACCUCAGAUCAGGUAGGGAUACCUGCUGAACUUAA
RNAcentral lists this ribosomal RNA (328 nucleotides) under uncultured Ruhlandiella. RNAcentral describes it as "eukaryotic LSU rRNA". The stretch from base 1 to 102 matches the Rfam family "5.8S ribosomal RNA", at positions 53 to 154 of the family's 154-position model. The record is from RNAcentral. Lineage: Eukaryota; Fungi; Ascomycota; Pezizomycetes; Pezizales; Pezizaceae.